Molecule: long non-coding RNA, 5265 nt
Filed under: Gallus gallus (chicken)
Lineage: Eukaryota; Metazoa; Chordata; Aves; Galliformes; Phasianidae
Description: lncRNA (ENSGALG00010010757.1)
Source: RNAcentral
CUCAGCUCCAUGAAUGAGGCUGUCAAUACCCUGAAUGAGCUUAAAUCAAAAGUAGGUUAGAGAACAAUUUGAGCAGGAAAUGUCUUGCAGAGGAAUGUGCUGAACAAAGAGAACUUUGUGUCUUCCACUUGACGGUAUCUUCAUUUCUUAGUAUUGAGGAGACAUAAACCUGUUUUGGUGCAUCCAAAGGAGGGCCAUAAAAAUGAUCCAAAGGAUGGAAUAAGAUGGAACAACUCUCCAAUGAGGACAGGCUGAGAGAGCUGAGGCUGUUCAUCUUGGAGAAGAGAAGGCUUUGAGGAGAAAAUGAAGGAAGAUAUCAACGUUGCAACAGUUACUUUCCAUCAACAAUUGCUCAUUUAUCUGUGGUAGUAUGCACAACACAGUGGUUUCUCCUCGGCAUCAGUUCAAAAGAAGCUCAAAAACAAAUGAAAGAAAAUACGAGUUCCAUGUCUGAAGUGAGGAGAUUAAGGGAUACUGGACAACUCAUCUCUGAAGAAACUUCAGAGAGCUUUAUUUUUGGCAGCUGGACGGUUGUUCCAAUAGUGCUGUGCAGCUUGCUGGAUGGAGGAGGAUAUUGACUGAUGUGACACCUGCUUGCUGUACACUGAAUGUCAAAUAUACUGUUACUGAAUUUGAUGAAAUUAAAACUUGUGCAGGAAGUAUUUAAACAGGAUACAAACUACUUAUAUCCACACGAGUCUUACUCUGGUUCCUCUGCAACUUCUCUACAGUGUUACAAAAUAAAGUUGAUGGCACAGGACCUCAGUUUUGAAGUUAAUGUUUGGUGCCUGGGACAUCUCAAAAUUCAAGAGCUGAACUUUUUGGGAUGAAAAUCUUCGGAGAGAAUCAGAUGCAGUUUUUGGAAGUGAUAACUGGAACUGCAGUCUGUGAUAUAUAAAAUAUAAGUGUACAUUGGAUUGAGCUCCCGAAAAGGAUUUUGGUAAUGGGAUGUCCUGUUUCUGGAUCCUGUUUAGGCAAUGGGAUUUAGGAUGCUCUACCUAUUAAGAUAGAUACUGUUGCAAUGCAUAUACAGAAAUGAAAUUUUAUGAUUUAGUUCUGAACAACAUUGAGGCACUGAGGUAUAAUCAGCUAGUAAUAGUUGAAAGCAUUGUUUUUCAGAGUAACAGAUUUGUAUUCAAAUAUAUGAAUUCUAACCCACUCCCACUUUGAGUGAUUUGCUAUCUGAGUGAGCAGCAGGAAAUCUUGCAGAUAUUUUUCACUGCAGCAUCCUGAAGAAGCUCAUACUAUUUUCUUUUUUUGUCGUCUUCUUGGUUUUACAGACAUAAUAUAUCCCUAUAUGUUUCUCCAGCAGAACUACAGAUGUCUCCCAUUACUUUUCUACAGCAACAUGGGUUAGAGCUUUCUCUAUAUGAAAAAAAAAAAAAAAAAUGCUAUAAGCCUCAUUUUCACAGUGGUUAUAAUGAUUGUCUUCAAUAGGGCAAUCCUUGCUGCAAGCAUUUCACGACAGUCUCAGUGAGCACAACGCAAAGUCUUUUAAUGCCUCAUCUUCAGGGUGUGGUAAGAUGAUGGGUAUUACAUGAUGCCUAGAAAGAAAUACCUAAUUUUGACCUUUUCAUUGUUUUCAUUAGGAAGGAAGCAAACAAAAAUAUUCUUUUUCUUUUUCCUUUUCCUUUUCCUUUUCCUUUUCCUUUUCCUUUUCCUUUUCCUUUUCCUUUUCCUUUUCCUUUUCCUUUUCCUUUUCCUUUUCCUUUUCCUUUUCCUUUUCCUUCUCCUUCUCCUUCUCCUUCUCCUUCUCCUUCUCCUUCUCCUUCUCCUUCUCCUUCUCCUUCUCCUUCUCCUUCUCUUUCUUUUUCCUUUUCCUUUUUCUCUUUAAAUAAUAACCUGGAAGUAUGGUUGUGCAAAAGCAGAAAUUUUGUUCAAAGAAAGAUUUCCUUUGAGCAAAAAGUACAUUUUAAAGAAAUAAAUUUGACCAUUUUUAGUAACUUACAUGAAAGAAAGAAGAGCUACUGUGAACAGGAAUUCUGAAUUUUUAUGAAUGCCAAUGGUGCUGCUAAAUUAAAAUUUUUCAACUUUUUCCCUUAGUUGGAUCAAAUGUGUUUAAAUUUAUAAAUUAGUAACCAGUUAUUUACAGACAACAAUUUGAAAAUAAAUCAGAGAAAACCAGUAGCAUUUGCCUCAGUACUACUAGAAAGACUGAAUGUAUACCUAGUCACAUUAAGAAAACAGUUACAAGGACCUACAAAACUCAUGCUGACAUUUAGACAGAAAGAACAUAAGCAUCUUUAGGCAAACAAAUUAGUAAGUCUAGCUAUGAAUAGUAAAGCCUCCCACACUAUCUCUGAAUCAGUUACCAACUUGCCUAGUAUAUAUCUGAUGGGCAGCCAAAUGGGAUGUUAUAGAAUGAGCAGCAAACCCUUGAAUAAAAAGUGGACACCCAAGGUGCCAUUUUGAUUAGUAUCUAUCUAUUAAGAUAGUUAGAGGUUUUUUCCUCUUUAAGCUGAUGUAACAUCAGAGAAAGAAGUCUUUGACUUGACCAGAAAUCCUUGACUUGGUUCUUAGAAACCUGAGGAGCACUAGAGUUUAGGCUGGAGAUAUGAAACUUUUUGUGGAAAACUACCACUAUUCUAUCAGAACUUAGCAAAAAAUUCAUUUUGUCAUGUUGAGUGGUGAAUUUUUUGUCCUAACACAUACAGGUUUUGGAAAGCUAUAAAGAAGAAACUUCACUCAACCCAGCUUGCUCCAUCAGUCUAGGAAAAAGCUAUUAGUGUGAAAAGAAAUUCCAAAAGUUUUAGGAGUUGAGAUUCACCUAAAAAUUUAUAUCUGCUAAGUAGAGUGAAAAUUUGAGGAGGAGUACAACUGAAAAGCAGGAACGCAAAUAAAUGUUAUUUCUGUAGAAGUUCAUGGGACUUUUGCUUGCAUGGAAGCCCAAAAGAGUCUGUAGAAUGUUGCCAGUACAUUCAGAAUAAAAUAGGAAUUUUAGAAAAGCAGAAGGAUUUGGCAAUGUCAUGUCCAGGAAUGAAGAAUAAUCAGAAUAAAUUAAGUAGGUCAUGGGAUGGACAGACUCAUAUAAUUACAAUGAAAUCAUAAUAUAAAUCAUUGGAGAACCAGCAGUGGUAAACACUGUUAGGUGGUUUUUUUUAUUGUUGUUUUUUGUGUAUGUGUGUUUGUUUUUGUGGUUUGUUUUUUUUUUCACUGAGGUAGCCAUAUUACAAGCAGGCAGCAUGAAUUACUUUAUUGAAUAUUCAAAGAUGUUUUGAAUACCCUGUAACUUCUUAUGAGAUUAUCAACCACCAUUUUCAGAUGUGCCUUAGGUCACUAAAAUGAUACACAGGACAUCAUUAUGCUUCCUAAAUGAUCUCAAUGCAGCAAUUUCAAUACAGUAGUUUGAUAACCAAUUAAGUGGCAUUCUAAACAUUUUAAGUUUUUCAUAUUUUCAAAAAAUCUCAGUAAGUGAAUAGUGCUAUGUAGUCAAUUUUUAACCCUCACGUGUAAUGACUGGUAAAGGAAGAUGAUUAAAAUCAACCUGGAAUGGUUUGGAUGUGCAAAAAUGUCAAAAUAUCAUGAGAUUAUGUACAGUCUUUAACUAAUGGACCAGUAAUUUGUAGUGAGAGUCAUGAGGCCUUCUGUUAUACAGACCUUUUGUUGAUUUGUCAGGGGAAAACUUUCUUCAGUACUUUUCUUGUAUGAUAUAAAUAAUCAUCACAGGUAGCAGUAAAUAAUUCUUGACUCUAGUUACCUAAAUGAACUUACUGAAACUUAGUGAAACAUCUGUAACAACACUUAGCAGCACUUGCAAAGAAAUCUUGUGCAGUAGUAGCAAAGGGAAACAGCAAUAUUUAGUCUGACAAGCUUUAACUCCAGUCACUGUCAGCCCAUUUUCAAAGGAAAAAAUUGCAGUCUGACUCAGGAUAAAUAUUAUAUGGACUGCUUUGUGGUAAAUCAUUCAUAAAGAAAGGUAGACUGUUCACCAAGAUUAUCUUUCUGAUUCAAAUGUAGCAAAAUGUUAGAUUUUACUUGGGCUCAUUUGUUUUCCUGAAAGACAUUUGAAUAAGCAAAAACCUGUAGAUCUCUCUCUUCUGGUUCCUUUGUUGAGGCAAUAGCUACCACACACAAAGGGACUGUAUAGGCAGGAUAAAGGCAGCUUUAAUACCCUGCACAGUUCCCAACAGCUGGAUGUAGUGUGCAGCUCUGCCAACAAGUCUGUGUAAGCCCAGCAGCACAAAUGAGGUGGUGACACACCAGCAACAACUGCUCUUUGGAAUGUACUCACCAUCAGUUUACUGGAAACAUCUUCCAGCUCCACUGGUCUCCCUUUAGUUUUUGGAUACCUUCCUAGAGCCUUUCUAUUUAACCCCUGAAUCCCUGAACUGCAGACAGUCUUACAUUGACUCACUUACUUUUGCUUGCAGUUUUACUUUUCUUAUCUCACUGGGUUUCCAUCCAUAUAUUUUCUUACAGUUUCCUCAGCAGGAAUGCAGCUUUCCCAGAUGUUUGUGUUGAGUUUACACAGUUAUGCCAGGUCAUUGCUUGGCUGUGGAUCAGGGAGCAUUGAUCAUUCAGAAGGGAGGUUGCCAAUCUGACAGGUGACAGCGUGGGAGGUAAGGAGAAGGAAGAACAGCCUCUUUUGCGCUUGCUGAUUUCAGUGCCUGAAAUGCUAUCUCAUCUCCACUAAUCCUCUAGCUUUCACAGCUGAACUUUCAGAUCUGCCAGCUCUUCCCAGAAAGAGACUGAGAACCGACAGGAGGAAAUCGAAUGCACUUUAAAUCUGAAAUCUGUCAUCAGAGUAGCAGUCUUCACAAACUCAACUUUUCAAAGAAGGAAAUUUUCAGAUUCUAACUUCUUAUUGGAAAGCUGCUGGAGACCUUUUCUUGCUAUGCUGUUAUUUGGAGUGAAUAAAGAAUCUUUUCUACUUUCAGCUCAGUAUCAAGGCUGGUUCUGUGGCAGGAUGUGCAGACCGCUGGGCUGCUUUCUCUGCAGAAGUGCAAGGGGAGAUGGAGGCCAUCCGCAUAAAGGGGACUGCACACAAUACCCUUGGUGCCCACCAUGAGGUGAAGACUCAACCAGACCCUACACAUGAGCAUCACAGCAUAUGCAGACAUAAAGGAGGAGGAGUAGAACAAGCUGGGCAUCAGUGUGCAUCUGCAGUGAAGGCAACAGGAGCACUAUCUCUACAUAAUUAACUUAAAGCAGAAUUGGCUUUUUAUGGAUGUUUGGCAACACUUACAAAUAAUGGUGCAAUAAUUAAAGAUGCAUUACAAAGAAUCUCAGCUGGAAGCAGACUUUUCAUCACACCCUAAUACCCCA